AAAAAUAGAUUUUUGCAUCCUUCCGCUUUUUGUUUUUUUUUUUGCUUGUUGCUUUUUCUCUUCCUUCUUCUUUUAGUUCAGAUAAACAC
Molecule: non-coding RNA, 89 nt
Filed under: Protocruzia adhaerens
Lineage: Eukaryota; Ciliophora; Spirotrichea
Source: RNAcentral